This 987-nucleotide non-coding RNA is filed under the name Drosophila virilis. RNAcentral's name for it is "Eukaryotic large subunit ribosomal RNA". It matches the Rfam family "Eukaryotic large subunit ribosomal RNA", at positions 1 to 805 of the family's 3401-position model. The record is from Rfam by way of RNAcentral. Lineage: Eukaryota; Metazoa; Arthropoda; Insecta; Diptera; Drosophilidae.
CAACCUCAACUCAUAUGGGACUACCCCCUGAAUUUAAGCAUAUUAAUUAGGGGAGGAAAAGAAACUAACAAGGAUUUUCUUAGUAGCGGCGAGCGAAAAGAAAUCAGUUCAGCACUAAGUCACUUUGUCUAUAUGGCAAAUGUGAGAUGCAGUGUACGGAACAUCAACAUUCUAGUAUGAGAAGUUAACGAUUUAAGUCCUUCUUAAAUGAGGCCAUUUACCCAUAGAGGGUGCCAGGCCCGUAUAACGUUAAUGAUUACUAGAUGGUGUUUCCAAAGAGUCGUGUUGCUUGAUAGUGCAGCACUAAGUGGGUGGUAAACUCCAUCUAAAACUAAAUAUAAACAUGAGACCGAUAGUAAACAAGUACCGUGAGGGAAAGUUGAAAAGAACUCUGAAUAGAGAGUUAAAUAGUACGUGAAACUGCUUAGAGGUUAAGCCCGAUGAACCUGAAUAUCCGUUAUGGAAAAUUCAUCAUUAGAAUUGUAAUAUUUUAAACAAUAUUAUAAUAAUAGUGUGCAUUUUUUCCAUAUAAGGACAUUGUAAUCUAUUAGCAUAAAUAUUUAUCAUAAAAUUAUGUCUGAUUGCUUAUUUGAAUUAUAUGCUUGGCAUUUUAACAUAAAAUAAAAGAUAUAAAUUUGAUAAAGUGCUGAUAGAUUUAUAUGAUUACAGUGCGUUAAUUUUUCGGAAUUAUAUAAUGGCAUAAUUAUCAUUGAUAUUUGUGUUUAUUAUAUGCAUUUGUAUGAUUAACAAUGCGAAAGAUUCAGGAUACCUUCGGGACCCGUCUUGAAACACAGACCAAGGAGUCUAACAUAUGUGCUAGUUAUCGGGAUAUAAACCUAAUAGCGUAAUUAACUUGACUAUUAUUGGGAUUAGUUUUUUAACUAUUUAUAGUUAAUUAACGCAUUUCCUGGGUGCGCUCUAGAUAGUUAUGAAUAAUAAUAUUUAUAUUAUUUAAUGCCUCUAAAUUGGAACGUACCUUGAGCAUAU